UACAGAGGGUGCGAGCGUUAAUCGGAAUUACUGGGCGUAAAGCGCACGUAGGUGGCGACGUAAGUCGGGUGUGAAAGCCCCGGGCUCAACCUGGGAAUUGCAUUCGAGACUGCAUUGCUGGAGUACGGAAGAGGAGGGCGGAAUUCCCGGUGUAGCGGUGAAAUGCGUAGAUAUCGGGAGGAACAUCAGUGGCGAAGGCGGCCCUCUGCUCCAGUACUGACACUCAAGUGCGAAAGCGUGGGGAGCAAACAGG
RNAcentral lists this ribosomal RNA (253 nucleotides) under uncultured bacterium. RNAcentral's name for it is "partial 16S ribosomal RNA". It matches the Rfam family "Bacterial small subunit ribosomal RNA", at positions 524 to 776 of the family's 1533-position model. The record is from RNAcentral.